This 433-nucleotide unclassified non-coding RNA is filed under the name soil metagenome. RNAcentral's name for it is "partial contains 5.8S ribosomal RNA, internal transcribed spacer 2, and large subunit ribosomal RNA". The stretch from base 1 to 120 matches the Rfam family "5.8S ribosomal RNA", at positions 35 to 154 of the family's 154-position model. The record is from RNAcentral.
GAUGAAGAACGCAGCGAAAUGCGAUACGUAAUGUGAAUUGCAGAAUUCAGUGAAUCAUCGAAUCUUUGAACGCAUAUUGCGCUCUCUGGUAUUCCGGAGAGCAUGCUUGUUUGAGUAUCAGUAAACACCUCAACUUCCAUAUCUUUUUUUGAAAUGGGAGUUGGACUUGAGUGAUCCCAACGCUUUUCCUCACCGAAAAGUGGCGGGUUACUUGAAAUGCAGGUGCAGCUGGACUUUUCUCUGAGCUAUAAGCAUAUCUAUUUAGUCUGCCUAAAAAACAGAUUAUUACUUUUGCUGCAGCUAACAUAAAGGAGAUUAGUUCUUGUGCUGACUGAUGCAGGAUUCACAAAGACAGCUUCGGCCGACUUUGUAAACUCGAUCUCAAAUCAAGUAAGACUACCCGCUGAACUUAAGCAUAUCAAUAAGCGGAGGA